Molecule: ribosomal RNA, 646 nt
Filed under: uncultured bacterium
Lineage: Bacteria
Description: bacterial SSU rRNA
Rfam family: Bacterial small subunit ribosomal RNA
Source: RNAcentral
AGAGUUUGAUCCUGGCUCAGGAUGAACGCUGGCGGCAUGCCUAAUACAUGCAAGUCGAACGAGGAUCCUUGUGGAUCCUAGUGGCGAACGGGUGAGUAACACGUAGGGAACCUGCCCGCGCACCGGGAAUACGCUCUGGAAACGGAGAACAAAUCCCGAUGUACAGGAAGGAGGCAUCUUCUUUCUGUGAAACAUCCUGUAAGGGAUGGGGCGCGGAUGGACCUGCGGUGCAUUAGUUGGUUGGCGAGGGUAAAGGCCCACCAAGACGAUGAUGCAUAGCCGGCCUGAGAGGGCGGACGGCCACAUUGGGACUGAGACACGGCCCAGACUCCUGCGGGAGGCAGCAGUAGGGAAUUUUCGUCAAUGGGCGCAAGCCUGAACGAGCGAUGCCGCGUGAGUGAAGAAGGCCUUCGGGUCGUAAAGCUCUGUUGCGGGGGAAAAAAGGCAUCUGCAGGAAAUGGUAGAUGACAGAUGGUGCCCCGCCAGAAAGUCACGGCUAACUACGUGCCAGCAGCCGCGGUAAUACGUAGGUGGCGAGCGUUAUCCGGAAUGAUUGGGCGUAAAGGGUGCGCAGGCGGUCCUGCAAGUCUGGAGUGAAACGUAUGAACUCAACUCAUGCAUGGCUCUGGAAACUGGAGGACUGGAG